Molecule: ribosomal RNA, 597 nt
Filed under: uncultured bacterium
Lineage: Bacteria
Description: bacterial SSU rRNA
Rfam family: Bacterial small subunit ribosomal RNA
Source: RNAcentral
AAUACUUAGGAAUCUGCCUAUUAGUGGGGGACAACAUUUCGAAAGGAAUGCUAAUACCGCAUACGCCCUACGGGGGAAAGCAGGGGCUCUUCGGACCUUGCGCUAAUAGAUGAGCCUAAGUCAGAUUAGCUAGUUGGUGGGGUAAAGGCCUACCAAGGCGACGAUCUGUAACGGGUCUGAGAGGAUGAUCCGUCACACUGGGACUGAGACACGGCCCAGACUCCUACGGGAGGCAGCAGUGGGGAAUAUUGGACAAUGGGGGCAACCCUGAUCCAGCCAUGCCGCGUGUGUGAAGAAGGCCUUUUGGUUGUAAAGCACUUUAAGCGAGGAGGAGGCUCCUAUAGUUAAUACCUAUAGUGAGUGGACGUUACUCGCAGAAUAAGCACCGGCUAACUCUGUGCCAGCAGCCGCGGUAAUACAGAGGGUGCGAGCGUUAAUCGGAUUUACUGGGCGUAAAGCGUGCGUAGGUGGCCAAUUAAGUCAAAUGUGAAAUCCCUGAGCUUAACUUAGGAAUUGCAUUCGAUACUGGUUGGCUAGAGUAUGGGAGAGGAUGGUAGAAUUCCAGGUGUAGCGGUGAAAUGCGUAGAGAUCUGGAGG